AGAGGUUGCGAAACAGGAGACAUGUCCUUGCUUCCUCAACAUUUUCAGAUGGACUCCAGAAUCGCCAGUGACACACUUAUACACACGUCUUUGCAAGUCCAGGUUCUGUUCGAUCAUUGCCAUCAGGCACCGGCAGGUGGCACCCAAACAGGGACCCUGAAAAGCAGGGAUUUAGUGAAGGAUGCCAUGGAACGGAGAGCGCUCGGAUGCUGAAAAUGCACGCUGGUUGCCAGAACGGCUGGUGCGGUUUGCUGAGUUUGGUGAGUCUGUGGCUGACAAGGAUCCAAGGUGUGAUUGAUGACGAGUCAGAGCAGUAUUGGGCAUAUGUUCCUGAUCCUCCAUUUCUACAUCCAGCAGUAUGGGAGGGUCCAGAAAUCAUUGUGAUAGUAAAUGAUUCUGCUCUCCUAAAUCACCCCACUAAUAAGGAUCUUAAAUCACAAAAAGAAGUAAAUUAUACAUAUGAAGGGAAAGGUGUGGGGACUCCCAUUUGUUUUGUUAAC
This is a long non-coding RNA of Nannospalax galili (Upper Galilee mountains blind mole rat), 500 nucleotides long. RefSeq lists it as uncharacterized. NCBI's taxonomy places the organism in Eukaryota, Metazoa, Chordata, Mammalia, Rodentia, Spalacidae. The record is from RefSeq and is a predicted model, not a curated record. The transcript has 3 exons.